GUUCCGGAUGAUGUAAUAAUCACGUUCCGAUCUUACAUUAAAAUGUUUCUCAUAGAAUGUUGGCGUCGUUGCUAUGACGGUUGCUGUCGCUGGACGAUCCAUUUACCCCUUUGUGACGUCUAUGCUUUGUGACCACCGAAUCCUACUGCGGUAAACGUGUGAAGGAGUCCUUCAGCAACAAGGGGUUGAUGGCUUGCUUGACAGCACGCUUUGCGUUACAGGAAUAGGCCUACCAACCUACGUUCAGUGUAAUACUUCUGCCGUUCAGGCACCGAUUUUAUAUUUGAACAUUUCUUCAUAGACAUUACAUAUAGGCUUUACUGUGGUUUGGUUGGUAGGUUUUAAACAUAUUUUUUUGUUUUACUACGGAAGAUUGACUCACUCAACUUGCUAACGUAACGUUACAUCUGGAUCUGGAUGCGGAGCAGCAGAACUACCACACCAGAAGCUCGUGGAUCAGCUCAGAAGGAGAGAGAGAAGAAUGAGUAAUCACAGCCUUGACCAUGAAGCAAGGACCAUGAAGGGAUGGCCAUCGAAAAGAAAUACCUGUAUAGGCAGUUACAGGCUACAGAAAGAAGAUGCGGAGAGUGAUCUCCCAGCAUCCUCAACUGGGUAUAAAUGUUUGUGUAUGUGUGUGCAUGAGUCCACAUGCACAUUUCAGGUCCCUGACAGAUAGAAAGUGUAGGUGCUUCUCUGACACUGUUCUAUUACACCGACAUAGGGAGACACUAAUAGCAUUUACAGCCUAAUGACUGCCUUGAAUUAAUGUGUAUACAUGUGUCAUUUAAAGUCCCCCGUAAAGAGUAUUUGUAUUUACCUUAAAAUAACGUUUCCAAAAUCAUUUUGAUGGCACAAACUUUUAAUAGGGCAAACAUCACUCAGAGUAGGUUUUAUCGCUUGUAAAAUAGCCAUAUGAAGUUGCUGUUUGGGUAGGAACACUGCACUACAUUGGUGCUGCUUUAAAUGUGCAGUGAAACAGUUGUGCAGGGCUCUGUGGUGCAGGGCUGGGUUACCCAAAAGCAUAGUAGCAAUAGUGUC
This is a long non-coding RNA of Alosa alosa (allis shad), 1038 nucleotides long. RefSeq lists it as uncharacterized. The transcript is spliced from 3 exons. Lineage: Eukaryota; Metazoa; Chordata; Actinopteri; Clupeiformes; Clupeidae. The record is from RefSeq and is a predicted model, not a curated record.